UCUCGUAGGUGACCUGCGGAGGGAUCAUUA
RNAcentral lists this ribosomal RNA (30 nucleotides) under ascomycete sp. CH-Tl20. RNAcentral describes it as "partial 18S ribosomal RNA". The record is from RNAcentral. Lineage: Eukaryota; Fungi; Ascomycota.